This 40-nucleotide transfer RNA is filed under the name Datura arenicola. RNAcentral describes it as "partial tRNA-His". Lineage: Eukaryota; Viridiplantae; Streptophyta; Magnoliopsida; Solanales; Solanaceae. The record is from RNAcentral. RNAcentral also lists the same sequence under 6 other names.
CGGAUGUAGCCAAGUGGAUCAAGGCAGUGGAUUGUGAAUC